AGAGUUUGAUCCUGGCUCAGGAUGAACGCUGGCGGCGUGCCUAAUACAUGCAAGUCGAACGCACAGCGAAAGGUGCUUGCACCUUUCAAGUGAGUGGCGAACGGGUGAGUAACACGUGGAUAACCUACCUCAAGGUUGGGGAUAACAUUUGGAAACAGAUGCUAAUACCGAAUAAAACUUCGUAUCGCAUGAUACAAGGUUAAAAGGCGCUACGGCGUCACCUAGAGAUGGAUCCGCGGUGCAUUAGUUAGUUGGUGGGGUAAAGGCCUACCAAGACAAUGAUGCAUAGCCGAGUUGAGAGACUGAUCGGCCACAUUGGGACUGAGACACGGCCCAAACUCCUACGGGAGGCUGCAGUAGGGAAUCUUCCACAAUGGGCGAAAGCCUGAUGGAGCAACGCCGCGUGUGUGAUGAAGGCUUUCGGGUCGUAAAGCACUGUUGUAUGGGAAGAACAGCUAGAGUAGGGAAUGACUUUAGUUUGACGGUACCAUACCAGAAAGGGACGGCUAAAUACGUGCCAGCAGCCGCGGUAAUACGUAUGUCCCGAGCGUUAUCCGGAUUUAUUGGGCGUAAAGCGAGCGCAGACGGUUGAUUAAGUCUGAUGUGAAAGCCCGGAGCUCAACUCCGGAAAGGCAUUGGAAACUGGUCAACUUGAGUGCAGUAGAGGUAAGUGGAACUCCAUGUGUAGCGGUGGAAUGCGUAGAUAUAUGGAAGAACACCAGCGGCGAAGGCGGCUUACUGGACUGUAACUGACGUUGAGGCUCGAAAGUGUGGGUAGCAAACAGGAUUAGAUACCCUGGUAGUCCACACCGUAAACGAUGAA
RNAcentral lists this ribosomal RNA (823 nucleotides) under uncultured bacterium. Its description in RNAcentral is "bacterial SSU rRNA". It matches the Rfam family "Bacterial small subunit ribosomal RNA", at positions 8 to 813 of the family's 1533-position model. The record is from RNAcentral.